This is a non-coding RNA of Oncorhynchus mykiss (rainbow trout), 1976 nucleotides long. NCBI's taxonomy places the organism in Eukaryota, Metazoa, Chordata, Actinopteri, Salmoniformes, Salmonidae. The record is from RefSeq and is a predicted model, not a curated record.
CUUUCUCUCGCUCUCUUUUUCUCUACGGUAGCUGUCGUGUAAUGGUAGUGAAAUAGUCAUCAUUGCUUGAAGCGCAUAGUAAAGAAAGCAUGGCUGCCAGUCGGGUACUCGUAUACGGAGGAAGAGGUGCACUGGGUAGCAAAAUUGUUCAGCACUUCAAAUCUAAAGGAUGGUGGGUAGCCAGCAUCGAUAUCGUUGCCAGUGAGGAGGCAAACGCGAACGUGCUGGUGAAGUUGUCGGAGUCAUUUACUGAGCAAGCAGGACAGGUGACAGCAGAUGUGGCCCAGUUGCUAGGGGACCAGAAAGUGGAUGCCAUCUUGUGUGUGGCAGGCGGAUGGGCUGGAGGAAAUUGCAGCUCCAAAGACCUGUACAAAAACACAGACAUGAUGUGGAAGCAGAGUGUGUGGACCUCUACCAUAUCUAGCCAUCUGGCUGCUGUGCACCUGAAGCAGGGUGGACUACUGACUCUGGCUGGGGCUAAAGCAUCACUGGGUGGUACUAGUGGCAUGGUGGGCUAUGGCAUGGCCAAGUCAGCAGUCCACCAGCUCUGUCAGAGUUUAGCAGGAGAAGACAGUGGGAUGCCCCCUGGAGCUGUGGCAGUUGCCAUACUACCGGUAACCUUGGAUACUCCAAUGAACAGGAAGUUCAUGCCUGAUGCAGACUUUGGUUCCUGGACACCACUGGAGUACAUUGCAGAAACUUUCUUCAGUUGGGCCACCGGUGCGGAUCGUCCAGCAUCGGGAAGUCUGAUGCAGCUCACCACCACCGGAGGCAAGACACAGGCCCUACCCACACAAUAAGGCACAUUUCCUACCCACACAAUAAGGCACAUUUCCUACCCACACAAUAAGACACAGGCCCUACCCACACAAUAAGACACAGGCCCUACCCACACAAUAAGACACAGGCCCUACCCACACAAUAAGACACAGAACCUACCCACACUAUAAGACAUAGGCCCUGCACCCCUAAUCAGACACAGGCCCCAACCACACAAUAAGACACAGGCCCUACCCACAAAAUAGGAGACUGACCAGACUGACCAGGUGAAUAUAGGUAAAAGCUAUGAUCCCUUAUUGAUGCCACUUGUUAAAUCCACUUCAAUCAGUGUAGAUGAGGGGGAGGAGACAAGUUAAAGAAGGAUUUUUAAGCCUUGAGACAAUUGAGACAUGGAUUGUGUGUGUGUACCGUUCAGAGGGUGAAUGGGCAAUAACAAGUAUUUAAGUGCUUUUGAACGGGGUAUGGUAGUAGGUGCCAGGCGCACCGGUUUGUGUCAGGAACUGCAACACUUAACAGUUUCCCUUGUGUAUCAAAAACGGUCCACCACCCAAAGGACAUCCAGCCAACUUGACACAACUGUGGGAAGCAUUGGAGUCAACAUGGGCCAGCACGCUUUCGACACCUUGUAGAGUCCAUGCAUCAACGAAUUGAGGCUAUUUUGUACAGUCAGUGUAUGUGACCUUAUAGAAAUGUAAGCAAGGUUUGAAAUUAUUAUGUUUUAGUCAAAUAUUAUAUCUGUUUGGACUUCUUGUGGUGGAUUUACCGUCGAUAAAUGGCUGAAUAUAGUUGAUUAUCCCUGGUAUAGAGAGAUGGAGAGGAGGGAGGGGAAGGAAGGAGAGCGGGGACGGUAAGACAAAUAUGCCCACAAUACCAUCUAGUGGUAGAAUGAAUCAGUUGCAGAGGAAACAUGAACCUCAAGUACAUUUACUUAUUUUGAAUUAUUUUGAUCCAGUUUGAGAUUGAUGAAAAUGAGUAAGCCGCUGUCUUAAUGUCAAACGUACAAUACAUUUCAGUGGAGUUGCGAUACUCUGUGUCUUGUGCCGAGUGUACCCAAUAUGCGUGUGAAUGAUUGGUUGAAGAUGUACUGUCUAAGUACUAUUAUCAAUAUCUCAUAACAUUUAAAAAACAAAUUGUGCUGUUUGAUGUGGUUUUACCUCCUCUGUCUCAAUGUGAAUAAAAAUCCACAUUAAUCACAA